RNAcentral lists this ribosomal RNA (392 nucleotides) under uncultured bacterium. RNAcentral describes it as "partial 16S ribosomal RNA". It matches the Rfam family "Bacterial small subunit ribosomal RNA", at positions 523 to 918 of the family's 1533-position model. The record is from RNAcentral.
AUACGGAGGAUCCGAGCGUUAUCCGGAUUUAUUGGGUUUAAAGGGUGCGUAGGUGGUUUGAUAAGUCAGCGGUGAAAGUUUGCAGCUUAACUGUAAAAAUGCCGUUGAAACUGUCGGACUUGAGUGUAAAUGAGGUAGGCGGAAUGCGUGGUGUAGCGGUGAAAUGCAUAGAUAUCACGCAGAACUCCGAUUGCGAAGGCAGCUUACUAAGCUACAACUGACACUGAAGCACGAAAGCGUGGGGAUCAAACAGGAUUAGAUACCCUGGUAGUCCACGCAGUAAACGAUGAUUACUAGCUGUUGCGAUACACAGUAAGCGGCACAGCGAAAGCGUUAAGUAAUCCACCUGGGGAGUACGCCGGCAACGGUGAAACUCAAAUGAAUUGGCGGGG